RNAcentral lists this ribosomal RNA (76 nucleotides) under Streptomyces albidoflavus. RNAcentral's name for it is "partial 23S ribosomal RNA". Lineage: Bacteria; Bacillati; Actinomycetota; Actinomycetes; Kitasatosporales; Streptomycetaceae. The record is from RNAcentral.
UGAUAGGCCGGAUAUGGAAGCCCUGUAAGGGGUGGAGUUGACCGGUACUAAUAGGCCGAGGGCUUGUCCUCAGUUG